RNAcentral lists this ribosomal RNA (253 nucleotides) under uncultured bacterium. Its description in RNAcentral is "partial 16S ribosomal RNA". It matches the Rfam family "Bacterial small subunit ribosomal RNA", at positions 524 to 776 of the family's 1533-position model. The record is from RNAcentral.
UACGUAGGGUGCGAGCGUUGUCCGGAAUUAUUGGGCGUAAAGAGCUUGUAGGCGGUUUGUUGCGUCGGCUGUGAAAUCCCGAGGCUCAACCUCGGGUCUGCAGUCGAUACGAGCAAACUAGAGUGUUGCAGGGGAGACUGGAAUUCCUGGUGUAGCGGUGAAAUGCGCAGAUAUCAGGAGGAACACCAGUGGCGAAGGCGGGUCUCUGGGCAGCAACUGACACUGAGGCGCGAAAGCCAGGGGAGCGAACGGG